CCGGUAAACGGCGGCCGUAACUAUAACGGUCCUAAGGUAGCGAAAUUCCUUGUCGGGUAAGUUCCGACCUGCACGAAUGGCGUAAUGAUGGCCAGGCUGUCUCCACCCGAGACUCAGUGAAAUUGAACUCGCUGUGAAGAUGCAGUGUACCCGCGGCAAGACGGAAAGACCCCGUGAACCUUUACUAUAGCUUGACACUGAACAUUGAGCCUUGAUGUGUAGGAUAGGUGGGAGGCUUUGAAGUGUGGACGCCAGUCUGCAUGGAGCCGACCUUGAAAUACCACCCUUUAAUGUUUGAUGUUCUAACGUUGGCCCGUUAUCCGGGUUGCGGACAGUGUCUGGUGGGUAGUUUGACUGGGGCGGUCUCCUCCUAAAGAGUAACGGAGGAGCACGAAGGUUGGCUAAUCCUGGUCGGACAUCAGGAGGUUAGUGCAAUGGCAUAAGCCAGCUUGACUGCGAGCGUGACGGCGCGAGCAGGUGCGAAAGCAGGUCAUAGUGAUCCGGUGGUUCUGAAUGGAAGGGCCAUCGCUCAACGGAUAAAAGGUACUCCGGGGAUAACAGGCUGAUACCGCCCAAGAGUUCAUAUCGACGGCGGUGUUUGGCACCUCGAUGUCGGCUCAUCACAUCCUGGGGCUGAAGUAGGUCCCAAGGGUAUGGCUGUUCGCCAUUUAAAGUGGUACGCGAGCUGGGUUUAGAACGUCGUGAGACAGUUCGGUCCCUAUCUGCCGUGGGCGCUGGAGAACUGAGGGGGGCUGCUCCUAGUACGAGAGGACCGGAGUGGACGCAUCACUGGUGUUCGGGUUGUCAUGCCAAUGGCACUGCCCGGUAGCUAAAUGCGGAAGAGAUAAGUGCUGAAAGCAUCUAAGCACGAAACUUGCCCCG
This 882-nucleotide ribosomal RNA is filed under the name Escherichia coli. Its description in RNAcentral is "partial 23S ribosomal RNA". It matches the Rfam family "Bacterial large subunit ribosomal RNA", at positions 1920 to 2801 of the family's 2925-position model. The record is from RNAcentral. Lineage: Bacteria; Pseudomonadati; Pseudomonadota; Gammaproteobacteria; Enterobacterales; Enterobacteriaceae.